AACGAACGCUAGCGGACGCGUUUUAAGCAUGCAAGUCGAACGGGGAUAUUAGGAGCAAUUCUGGUAUUCCAGUGGCAAACGGGUGAGUAACACGUGGAUAAUCUGCCCUCAAGACCUGGAUAGCCCGCAGAAAUGCGGAUUAAUACGGGAUGUGGUGCCUGAUCAUGAGGAUUGGGCCAUUAAAGGUGGGGACCGCAAGGCCUGCCGCUUGGGGAGGAGUCCGCGGCCCAUUAGCUAGUUGGUGGGGUAAAGGCCUACCAAGGCGACGAUGGGUAGCCGGCCUGAGAGGGUGACCGGCCACAUUGGGACUGAGACACGGCCCAGACUCCUACGGGAGGCAGCAGUGAGGAAUCUUGCGCAAUGGGGGAAACCCUGACGCAGCAACGCCGCGUGAGUGAGGAAGGCCUUCGGGUCGUAAAGCUCUGUCAGAUGGGAAGAAAUGGAUGGGGGCUAAUAUCGCCCAUCCUUGACGGUACCAUCAGAGGAAGCACCGGCUAACUCCGUG
Molecule: ribosomal RNA, 505 nt
Filed under: uncultured bacterium
Lineage: Bacteria
Description: bacterial SSU rRNA
Rfam family: Bacterial small subunit ribosomal RNA
Source: RNAcentral